GACGAACGCUGGCGGCGUGCUUAACACAUGCAAGUCGAACGGAAAGGCCCUGCUUUUGUGGGGUGCUCGAGUGGCGAACGGGUGAGUAACACGUGAGUAACCUGCCCUUGACUUUGGGAUAACUUCAGGAAACUGGGGCUAAUACCGGAUAGGAGCUCCUGCUGCAUGGUGGGGGUUGGAAAGUUUCGGCGGUUGGGGAUGGACUCGCGGCUUAUCAGCUUGUUGGUGGGGUAGUGGCUUACCAAGGCUUUGACGGGUAGCCGGCCUGAGAGGGUGACCGGCCACAUUGGGACUGAGAUGCGGCCCAGACUCCUCCGGGAGGCAGCAGUGGGGAAUAUUGCACAAUGGGCGGAAGCCUGAUGCAGCAACGCCGCGUGCGGGAUGACGGCCUUCGGGUUGUAAACCGCUUUCGCCUGUGACGAAGCGUGAGUGACGGUAAUGGGUAAAGAAGCACCGGCUAACUACGUG
RNAcentral lists this ribosomal RNA (468 nucleotides) under uncultured bacterium. Its description in RNAcentral is "partial 16S ribosomal RNA". It matches the Rfam family "Bacterial small subunit ribosomal RNA", at positions 28 to 507 of the family's 1533-position model. The record is from RNAcentral.